This 67-nucleotide transfer RNA is filed under the name Marmota monax (woodchuck). RNAcentral describes it as "tRNA.Gly". The record is from RNAcentral. Lineage: Eukaryota; Metazoa; Chordata; Mammalia; Rodentia; Sciuridae.
GGCUGUAGCUCAGUGGGAGAGUAUUUGCCUACCACAUAGGAGGUACUGGGUUUGAUCCUCAGCAUCA